AUGCAAGUGCAGGUGGCCGCUACCAUACGAAUUUGUCUUAUGGAUCAGAUCAUGUAUCAUGUCAUGGACGAAGAUUCUCCUAAGGAAAUUUGGGACAAGUUGGCAAGUUGUUAUAUGUCCAAGUCGGCCAAUAAGUUGUAUCAAAAGCAAACGUUCUAUGGGCUGAAGAUGCAUGAGGGGGUGGAUCUUGUGGAGCAUGUGAAUGCCUUUAAUCAGUUGGUCACAUAUCAAGCGCGCCUAGCUGUGAAGAUUGAGAACGAGGAUAAGGCACUACUUAUUCUUUUUUCGUUGCCACCGUCCUAUGAGCAUUUGGUCAUUACAUUGAUACAUGGAAAGACAACCAUCAAUAAUGAGAAAGUCACUGCAGCAUUGCUUGGACAUGAGUUGAUGAAGUAA
This 396-nucleotide ribosomal RNA is filed under the name Triticum aestivum (bread wheat). Its description in RNAcentral is "partial small subunit ribosomal RNA". The record is from RNAcentral. Lineage: Eukaryota; Viridiplantae; Streptophyta; Magnoliopsida; Poales; Poaceae.